UGCUUAUUUUAAUGUAUUAAAUUUUGUUAAAGGUUUUGUCAUUUUCAUAAGCAUAUUCAUAUUCAAUAAAUCAAUGGACCUUUUUGCAUUCAAAUAUUGCGCUCUUUAUCUUUCCUGUCAUCUUUCAAAUAAGCUAUGUUUUCUUGCACACACUCACGUAACAAUUUGCCGAUCCAUAUCCACUCUGGAUCCUGUUGGUAAUAACUCUUCUACUGUUCAUUAUAACUUUGAAAAUCCGAUCUACCAAGCCGAGGAUGGAAGUGAGGAAGAUUGUGAAGUACCUGA
This 285-nucleotide long non-coding RNA is filed under the name Lathyrus oleraceus (garden pea). RNAcentral's name for it is "Pisum sativum (pea) long non-coding RNA (PSAT_LNC000563)". The record is from RNAcentral. Lineage: Eukaryota; Viridiplantae; Streptophyta; Magnoliopsida; Fabales; Fabaceae.